RNA transcript from Metopolophium dirhodum (rose-grain aphid), 2254 nucleotides. It is a transcript of the gene named ADP-ribose pyrophosphatase, mitochondrial, with no coding region annotated. The record is from RefSeq and is a predicted model, not a curated record. Lineage: Eukaryota; Metazoa; Arthropoda; Insecta; Hemiptera; Aphididae. The transcript is spliced from 4 exons.
ACUUUCGAUGUGAUUCUUUUCAUUUUAUACAAUGUACCAUAUCAUAUCUAUAUAUUAUAUUGUUCUAUGAUUCUAUCAUAUACUUUUUAUCUAUUCUGUGGCUCUAUUGUCACUAUUUUUCGUUUCCAGUCCUGUUAAUCAUAGCCCGUGAUAUGGACCAAUCACAACAAAGGACGCUAAAAUCGGUAGGCCGCGUCGCCGCGUCGGACGCUUAAAUCAUUGUUGAAUUCUGUUUCUGUAAUCUGUGAAAAAAAGGGAAAAAGCCGGUGCGGCGGUGCCCAGUAAGUAAGCCACUUUUAUGUAUUUGAAAAUUAUCUUAAUAACCGUCUUGGAUAUGAUCUAAAAUUUAGUUAUAAAUUUUAAAGUUUAAACACAAUCAAAAUAUUAGAUAGUGCGCAUCGUAAAGCAGUUAACGGUAAUACGCCAUAGGUUAAAAUAAAGUUGGGUACUAUUUUCAUAAACACUUUUAAUAACAAGUUAUCUGAAGUUAAAUUAUUGUAUAUUAUGUUGCUAUAAUUCUACAUCCUCUGAAAAUACAUACUUCAAUAACAAUUCUGUUUAUUAAAAACUAAUAUACAACGACUGAAUGACAUGUAGUCAUAUAGAUGAGAUUUUAAGAAAGUUAUCAUCUGCAUUUUAUUGUACUUACCUGAGAGCCCUUAAGUAUUUAUUUUAAGAAAAUAAUUUCUAUAUAUUAUAGUAUUUAUAUUCUUCUACAUGCUAAAAUAAAUAAACUAAUAAAUUCCAACAUGAGAUAUUUGUUUUUAUUGUUACUAGAAGAAAAGCAAAUGCUCGCCAAAAUCAUGUUCCACUAUAAAUGUAGAAACAACAUUUAUCCUAAAACAGAUGGCAAAAUUGUUCGAUUUCAUGUACCAGAUGAUAAAGUUAGUUGGAAUUCCCCAUAUCCUAUGUAUAAUCCAACAUUGUUUACAUCAACAUGUAUUGUUGGUCAACCAUGGGCUGAUCUAGAUUUGAAUGUAUCUGAUUUCCAACCCAGUUGGAAUUCAAUUGAUGGUUAUGUUAAUAGAAUUAGUUUGACUGGAAAGUAUGAAAUUAAAAAUGGCUAUCCCCUGAAUCCUUGUGGCCGAACUGGUAUAACUGGCCGUGGAGUUCUUGGUCGUUGGGGCCCAAAUCAUGCUGCUGAUCCAAUUGUUACUCGUUGGAAAAAAUCUAAAAAUGAACAUGUAUUUAAUGAAAACAGUGAUAAACCUAUUCUUCAGUUUGUUGCCAUUAAAAGAAAAGAUUCCGGUGAGUGGGCAUUACCUGGUGGUAUGGUUGAUUCUGGAGAAGUAAUUUCUUCUACUCUGAAGAGAGAAUUCAUGGAAGAAGCUAUGGACUUGCUGCAAAAAUCUAAAGAAGAUGCUGUAAAAAUAGAAAAAGAAAUAACGGAAAUAUUUAAUGAAGGCAUAGAAGUUUUUUGUGGAUAUGUUGAUGAUCCUAGAAACACGGAUAAUGCUUGGAUGGAAACCAUUGCAACUCUUUUUCAUGAUGAGAAAGGAGAUCAUGUAGGAAUGUUAAAACUUCACGCAGGAGAUGAUGCAGUUGGAGUGAAAUGGGUAGAUUUAGAUAGAAAUCUGAAAUUAUAUGCCAAUCAUAUAUCAUUUUUAGAGGAAAUUGCUACCAGAUUAAAAUGUCAUUGGUGAUUUAAUUUAAUUAAUAUUCUUAAAUUAUUAAUACAUAUACAUACAUAGUUAAUAAUUUCAAUGGUUGAUAAUAUUUUUUGUAAAAUUUAAGAUAUAGUAAUUAAUUUUAUUAAAUAAAUAAUAAUAAACUUAUAUAAUAUACAACUUGAAUGAUUCCAUUUAUUUUAUUUUAUUUUUCAAUAAACAAACAUUCUUUACUUUAAAUUUACAAUUGUUAUUAUUAAUGCUCGGAAAUUAAGUUUUUUAAGUUAAAAUUUAUAAAAUAUGCAAAUAAAAAUAUUAAACUUGAACAUUUUUUUUUAGAAAAGCAUAUUAAUUAUUAGUUACAUAAUGGUAUAUUAGUAUAAAUAUAAUAGAUAUACAUUUUUUUUAAAAAAACAAUCACAUAUCUACAUAUUAUGAUAUUAAUGAAAUGUGGUUGGAAACUGGUGAAGGUCAUCAUUAGAUCAAUUUGUAGGGAGGUAAAAACUUAAGGAAGUUACCGUACACACUUAUGUUGUCUCUGACUGGAAUUACCAUAAGUGUUUUACCAUCUUAGGCAUGAUAUAAUUUAAACAAAUUGUCCGAUUAUAGAAUUUUGUAUUAUUAUUAAAUUUGAAAACAUUCUAUAA